GCGGGAAUGGCGGAAUUGGCAGACGCGCUAGAUUCAGGUUCUAGUGAUCAUUACGAUUCGUGCAGGUUCAAGUCCUGUUUCCCGCA
Molecule: transfer RNA, 86 nt
Filed under: Clostridiales bacterium
Lineage: Bacteria; Bacillati; Bacillota; Clostridia; Eubacteriales
Also listed under: 1 other name
Description: tRNA-Leu
Rfam family: tRNA
About the family: Transfer RNA (tRNA) molecules are approximately 80 nucleotides in length. Their secondary structure includes four short double-helical elements and three loops (D, anti-codon, and T loops). Further hydrogen bonds mediate the characteristic L-shaped molecular structure. tRNAs have two regions of fundamental functional importance: the anti-codon, which is responsible for specific mRNA codon recognition, and the 3' end, to which the tRNAs corresponding amino acid is attached (by aminoacyl-tRNA synthetases). tRNAs cope with the degeneracy of the genetic code in two manners: having more than one tRNA (with a specific anti-codon) for a particular amino acid; and 'wobble' base-pairing, i.e. permitting non-standard base-pairing at the 3rd anti-codon position.
Source: RNAcentral